UACGAAGGGAGCUAGCGUUGUUCGGAAUCACUGGGCGUAAAGCGCACGUAGGCGGAUGUGUCAGUCAGGGGUGAAAUCCCGGAGCUCAACUCCGGAACUGCCUUUGAUACAGCACGUCUUGAGUCCGAGAGAGGUGGGUGGAAUUCCUAGUGUAGAGGUGAAAUUCGUAGAUAUUAGGAAGAACACCAGUGGCGAAGGCGGCCCACUGGCUCGGUACUGACGCUGAGGUGCGAAAGCGUGGGGAGCAAACAGG
RNAcentral lists this ribosomal RNA (253 nucleotides) under uncultured bacterium. Its description in RNAcentral is "partial 16S ribosomal RNA". It matches the Rfam family "Bacterial small subunit ribosomal RNA", at positions 524 to 776 of the family's 1533-position model. The record is from RNAcentral.